This is a long non-coding RNA of Thunnus maccoyii (southern bluefin tuna), 1329 nucleotides long. RefSeq lists it as uncharacterized. The record is from RefSeq and is a predicted model, not a curated record. The transcript has 3 exons. NCBI's taxonomy places the organism in Eukaryota, Metazoa, Chordata, Actinopteri, Scombriformes, Scombridae.
ACAGCCAGUGAGUGGGCUGGGCUGCGGUGCUCUCUGCCUCUCCCAUCACAAAAUCACCCCAAUAACAUAAUUUAAACUUGACUUAGAAGCUGUGCCCCGUGUGUGCCAAUGCACUGAAACAUGGCUACAGGCCCUGCAGACAUCAGAUGGACAGUUGGUGUGUCUGUGUGAUAGCCCCAAAUGCCUCCAGCACACCCAGUGCCACAGCAACCGGUACUUCUCCUCUGUCAAAGGGGGCAGCAGCGGGGUGAUGUUUGAGCGUGGCUGCCUGCAAGGGUCGGAGAAAAUCCGUUUGCAUUGCUCCACAGCUCUGUCCUUCCACCAGGCCAUUUUCUGCUGCGUCCAGGACAUGUGUAACAGCAACACCACCAGGAGCUAUCUGAUGUCUCUGCUGCCAUCAGGUACAUAUAACCUGCUGCCAGCUCCAGGCCAUGGCAGAGACUAGCAGCAUAGAUGUCAUCUCCAAACAUGGAGGCUGCGUCUUGUUUCAAAGAGCUGAGGGAUGCUUGCUUAUACCAAACUGUGGUGUUCAAUGGCAACAAAUAAAUACAAUGCACAAAUGUGUUUUUAUGAAGUCCAUUCAGUACCUUCUGGAGCUGGAACUAUCUCAUAUUACAUGUACAGUACCAGUACACUUCUCAAGGUGUGUCCAAACCUUUGACUUGUACUGUAUGUAACAUAAAAAUAGAGCAGAUUACUUACAAAUAUGUCUGAAAAAAAGAAACUAUUACUAGUUAAUGAAAGUGUGGUCAUAUUGAGAAAGUUUAAAAGAAAAUCAUGGAGAAGGAUUGUUGAAGAUGAUAAUAUUUUUUCAAAUUUCAAUCUAUAACCUCCCACCUCACUAAAAGUUCCUAUUAUUCGGAAUUAGAUUAAUAAAUGAACAUGAAAAAAAAAGACUGAACAGAUACCUUGAUUUUGUCCAUACAAUCUCUGGUGUUCAGGCCACAAAUACAUUGCAAAUUGCCUCUAAUAUUCCGAUCUGUGGUGUUCCCGGCCAGAUCCAAACACUUCUGCUCCUCAGCAUCAGAUAAUACGGUUGUAUUACAUCCGAAACACAUCUAAAACUGCAUUUCAGUUUCAGAUGUGCAUGGUUAGUCAGGAGAUGGAGGGUCAUAUUGGUUUUUGUGCACCUUUUAAGAACUCUUUUUUUUUUGAGGGGGGGUAUCUGAUCCUCAGCAUGCAUGGAUGAAGGAACAAGGAAGCACAGUUGCACUUUUUAAAUCAAGCAAUCAUAUAGUAGUCGAAAUGAAAUGUGAAAUGAAAUGUGAACUUUUCCAAGAUUUCCAGUGAGAGUAUACAGGAAAUUGUGAGCCACCCAAAUCUUGAUGU